GCGGGAGUAGCUCAGCGGUAGAGCCCCUGCCUUCCAAGCAGGAUGUCGCGGGUUCAAAUCCCGUCUCCCGCUCCA
This 75-nucleotide transfer RNA is filed under the name candidate division BRC1 bacterium SM23_51. Its description in RNAcentral is "tRNA-Gly". It matches the Rfam family "tRNA". Rfam says of the family: Transfer RNA (tRNA) molecules are approximately 80 nucleotides in length. Their secondary structure includes four short double-helical elements and three loops (D, anti-codon, and T loops). Further hydrogen bonds mediate the characteristic L-shaped molecular structure. tRNAs have two regions of fundamental functional importance: the anti-codon, which is responsible for specific mRNA codon recognition, and the 3' end, to which the tRNAs corresponding amino acid is attached (by aminoacyl-tRNA synthetases). tRNAs cope with the degeneracy of the genetic code in two manners: having more than one tRNA (with a specific anti-codon) for a particular amino acid; and 'wobble' base-pairing, i.e. permitting non-standard base-pairing at the 3rd anti-codon position. Lineage: Bacteria; Candidatus Sumerlaeota. The record is from RNAcentral.